UAGGGAAUAUUGCGCAAUGGGGGAAACCCUGACGCAGCGACGCCGCGUGAGUGAUGAAGGACUUCGGUUCGUAAAGCUCUGUCGCAGGGGAAUAAUUUCGAAUGUACCCUGUAAGAAAGGAUCGGCUAACUUCGUGCCAGCAGCCGCGGUAAGACGAGGGAUCCAAGCGUUGUUCGGAAUCAUUGGGCGUAAAGCGGGUGUAGGCGGCUCUAUAAGUCAGAUGUGAAAGCCCUGGGCUCAACCCGGGAAGUGCAUUUGAUACUGUAGAGCUUGAGUGUGGGAGAGGCUAGUGGAAUUCCUGGUGUAGUGGUGAAAUACGUAGAUAUCAGGAGGAACAUCGGUGGCGAAGG
This 350-nucleotide ribosomal RNA is filed under the name uncultured bacterium. Its description in RNAcentral is "bacterial SSU rRNA". It matches the Rfam family "Bacterial small subunit ribosomal RNA", at positions 355 to 721 of the family's 1533-position model. The record is from RNAcentral.